This 253-nucleotide ribosomal RNA is filed under the name uncultured bacterium. Its description in RNAcentral is "partial 16S ribosomal RNA". It matches the Rfam family "Bacterial small subunit ribosomal RNA", at positions 524 to 776 of the family's 1533-position model. The record is from RNAcentral.
GACGGAGGGGGCUAGCGUUGUUCGGAAUUACUGGGCGUAAAGGGCGCGUAGGCGGCUCUUCAAGUUAGACGUGAAAGCCCUGGGCUUAACCUAGGAAUAGCGUUUAAUACUGGAGGGCUAGAGAUCGGUAGAGGGAAAUGGAAUUCCUAGUGUAGAGGUGAAAUUCGUAGAUAUUAGGAAGAACACCAGAGGCGAAGGCGGCUUCCUGGGCCGAUACUGACGCUGAGGCGCGAAAGCGUGGGGAGCAAACAGG